AAGUGGAUUGUUCUUUCCUCCUGGAAAUUUUAAAAAACUAAGCAGAAGAGAGGAUCUGCAGUGCAUGCAUUAAACAAACGUUGAAAAGAAAUCAGCUGUCAGUUCCGAUGUGCAGCUAAGAAAAGUUUUCCCCCUUUAUAAAAAAAAGGAUAAAAUAGCAUUUCAAAACAUUUGAUGUGGAUAUUAAGAAGAAAAGAGUAGAAAGCCGUCACAGUGCCCACCACUUUAUUAAGAGCUCAUUACCUUUUACAAUAAUCCCCGACACUAGAUCUCAUUGUCCCUGUUUACUGACGAGGCGACAGAGGCUUGGACUUGUUAAGAAACUCCGUCAAGGUCAGUGAGUUAGUAAGUAGUCGAGCAGCGUUUGGACUUGGGUCUCGCUGACUUCGAAGCCUGUUCUCCAGCCAGUAUUUAUUGCUGUCAGUGGAGCUAACGAGAAUCUUCUAAAGGCACAUUGCUCAGUAAAGCUGUAUAAUGAAAAAUGAUAAGGACUGAAAAACUGCCCAGCUGUUGUCGUCCUUUCAAGAGAUAAAUUAAAAGGGUGGCAAAGACCAGGAGAACAUCCUGACAAUGGGAAGGGGAAAUGUCUCUGGUGGUUUCCACGUUCAUUAUAAUUUUGUGUUGGGCAAUUACGUGUUUAACAUUCGACAGUUCUCGUGUGUGGCUGCUCCUGGGGCACGGCCACAGACGGGAGAAGGGACGUGAUUUCCCUGUACCCAUUUUUAUUGAGCCACAUGCAUAUAUUCCAAAAGGGCACUUAAAUUGUUUGAAAGAGGUCUAGAUGCUGGCAAACACCACCAUAAACAACGCGGGCAGCUUAAAGUCCCAGCCGCCAACGACAUGAUUCACAAUGGAACCCAUCUUCUCUAAAUGGGGCGCGGAGCUAAAUGCUAUUUAUUACAACGAACUUACAACCAAGCGAGAUUCACUGCCUGGACUCAGUGAGGGGACUUCACAGCUGCCGAAAUGCGGGUUGUUGGCAUUUAGGAAGAACGACUUGCCCUCCAAGUAAGGAAAAUGAACCGCAGAAUAUGUUUUUUUUUUACCACUGUGAUUAUGUGUCUAAGCCCAUGGCCACACUGUCUGUGACGUAUCUACACUGGACGAGGGGAUGGGUGGAUUGGAAACCAUGUUUAAAUAAUUCAGGCAAACCCUCCUGUUUCUAAGAAGAAGAGUCUCCCUUCACUUAAUGAUCCUCUCAUUUCAUGCUUAUCCUUUGCCUGAAGCUUGACUGCAAUUAUUUUAUUUAAUUCUUAUCAUAAUCCCCAGAGGUGGCUUUUCUGAGCCCCUCUUUUUCAGAGGUCAGAAAACUGAGGGACAGAGAUUUAAGUAAACGGGACCAAGAUCACAUGCCUGGGAAAUGGCAGAACUGGGAUUUGAACCAGGUUUCUCUGUCACCAAGGGGCCCCUCUGCUUCGUCAUAAUAGCUGUUACCCUUUACUAAUUUGAUUGCGACCAACAGUUAUCAACCCUCACAAACGAUAGGGAAAAUCUGAGUUAUUAUUUCCUCGUUACAAGUGAAGACGCAGAGGGUCAGGAGGUUAGACUGUCCCCCCCACCCCCCGCCCACUCAGCUAUGUCCUAGUGACGUUGGAAUGAAAUCAGAAUUUGCCUGGGGCUCAAACCUAGUCUCUCGUCUGACUUUACCAGUGUUUCCCAAAGCACACUGUGCAGAGCCCGGGUCCCUCGAGAUGCUCUAAAGAAAAAAAGAUGUUCAGGCUCCUUGCCUCCUCACAGCCUUUGCACCUGCUGUCCCGGUGGCUGGGGCCCCUCCCCUGACCCUGCCUGGAUGAUUCCUGCCGCACAUUCGCCCACUGGCUUCAGGAUCGCAUCCUCAGAAGGGCCUUUCCUUAUCCCAGAAUCUAGACCAGGUCCCUGGAUUUCUUCACUCUUACCCUCCAGUUGUCAUGAAUAAUUCAUUGGUUUGUUUGGAUACUGGCUUAAUGCUUGCCUCUCCCGCUGGCCCUCAGGGUCCAGGAGGGCAGGGGUGGCCUUGUUCGAGAGACUCCACAGCGCCCGCCCUGUUCCAGGCCCAGGGUGUCGCUCAGUAAAGAAACACGUGCUUUUCUUCAUACUCUGUCAACGGCUCUGCCUUUGUAGAAUCAUAGACAGUGAAUGACCUCGGGGACCUCAGGCUUCCGCCAUUUUGCAGAUGGUGACAUGGAGGCCCCGCCUUCGCACCCACUGGGUGAUGGUGAGAAAAGUAACAAGAAACAGCUGCUGUUUAUCAACCCAGUAUGUUCUUGACCUGGAGCACAAGUGUUUAACCGAUGACAUCUGAUUUAAGCCUCAAGACAGACCAGGAAGUCGAGGCCCAGAGAUGUUAAGCAGCUUGCCCAAGUUCACAGCUAACGAGUGGCACAGAGUUAUCUGAUUGCGCCCCAUGCACGGAGACAGCUCUCCACACUGGUCCCCUUCCGCGUGGGAGUUGCCUGGGGGGCCUGACAACACUGAUGCCUGGCCCCACUGAUGCACAGAAUCUCCCAGAUUCUGCCUUAGUUGGUCUGGGGUAAGGCCUGGGCAUUGGGGAUUUUAAAAGCUCCCCAGGGGGAUCCUAAUGUGCUGCCAAGACUGAGAAAAAUCUAACAUCUGAUUGAUUGAUCACUGCUGUUGGAUCAGUUAACCCUUCUUGCAGAGCCCGGAUGGAAUACAUGCCUUGUACAAUCCUGCUACAACGUUCCCUGCUUCCUCCCCUCUCUCUCCUCCUCCUCCCUGUCUCUUUCCCGUCCCAACUCCAAAACCUGCAUUUCUAUUUAGAUUAAGCCCCUCCACGACACGCACGAAUAUGAAACAAACAAACAGUGCAAAGCACCAGUGUUUAUAAAGUUGGUGACCUUUAUGACAAGUCCCAGCCCAAAUGGUGUAGUUACAAGACUGGGCAGCCAAAUGUCCGUGCAAAGGAGGAAUUCUCAGGAGACCUUCAAGUUCUUGGGGUUUAACUGUUUGCUCUUCAGUAACAACAAUUGCUCUUAUCGGAUAGAGGAUUCACCUGGUGCCAGGCGCUGUGUGAGGCCGGUGGGGGACAGAGAGGCCUCCACAACAAAACUGGAGCGGGUAUUAUCAGCAGUACCUUUUUACCAGGGGUCCACUGACUCAUGGGAGCGUGAAGUGACGGUCAUCAUGACUGUAAGAAGAUGCAGCCAGGAUUUGAGCCCCCGCCCCUCCCUUCCCCUCCCUUCCCUUCCCUUCCCACCAGGCGGCUCUACCAGGAGACCCUUCAAUCUCUGCCCCGUGGUCCUGCUCCUGCUGGACUGAAAGACACUGAACCAGCCUUGCUUUCUUGAGAGAAUUCAAGACUUCCCUCCGCCCCCAAAUCAGCUGUUGAGAAGCAACGGGCUCCGUAUAAGACUGUAUUUGAAAAAUUACUCAGCUGCUUCCAAAAAUUACUAUAAGUUUAUAUGAUGGUGAUGAGGAUGACAAAGACUGACGCCCCCUGGACCAGGUGGGGCAGCCAGACUUUGGCUGUGCAUUUUUGGGCUCUUGCCAGUGAACGCUUAACAGGUUCUUUCAACAAACACUGGGGAAGCAUUUGCUUUGUGCCAGACACCAGAGGCUGUUUCAAUACAAGGGACCCAGCGGGGAGCACGACAGACAGGCCCGUGUCUGCAGAGAUUGCACUGUAUCCGGAGGGAAGACAGCGAGCAGAGCCCAUCGAUGAAACUUUACUGGCACACGGACCCACAUGGCCCACGUCUUACUCGUGGCUGCCCUUGUGCUGCACUGGCGGAGCCGAGUGGUUGUGACAGACACCGUGUCGUCUGCAGAGUCUGGACUGUUUGCUAUCUGGUCCUUCACCGCAGGAGAUUCUCACCCUCUAUUCUCUCUGGAAAUAGCCCUUUUGAAUACCUGUGGGGAUACCGAUGGGAGGCACUUCUCUCCGUUUCACGGUGGGUUCGUCUUCCUCAGUCUCCAGCCAGAGACAUCCAUGACCUGCUGGCCUCUUGGACCAAACCCCCCGGGAAGGUCUCCCUUCCUCUUUGCUAACUGAUGCCUGAUGUCUGCUUCUUCGUUGACUCUGUGUGUGUUGAGAGAUUUUCCUGGGCCCGGCACGGGGCUAGGUGCCUGAAUGUACAACCUGGAAUAAGAUAGUUUGGUCCUUGCCUCCUUGCAGCUUAAGUUCUAUUAAACAAGUUUCCAACAGACAGUCCUUCUUCUGCUCUUAGCUGCCUCUGAACCAUAGCGCACAGUUCAUUUAUAGCUUCAGAGUCAAGCCAGUCAGAUAUAGGCCAUAUUCACAUCGAUGUGCUUUUACUUAGGAGAUAUUUCAGUAAAUAAAGAUGAGAAAAUAAGACGACGUGAGGCAGGCUUGAGAACAAAGUGGGAGGGGAGGCUGCACAUGCACGCGGUCACUUCCACACCACAAGGAAACCAGGGAAGGAAGCCUUCACCCAGUACCUCUGCACACAAUUCAGGGCAUCCAUGAACUUGCACGGGAAAGACAAUUACACCAUUAAUUUCACUAACCUUUAACUGAAAUUCAGCAUUUCCUUCAUUUACGGAUAGAGACAUCAAUUCUCAGUAGUAGCAGUAUUCUGAUUGUUUUAUCACCAAUAUUUUCACCAAAACAUCACAGAUAGUUUUGUCACAUUACAGCUCUUACAAAUGUCUUGCAAAAUCAUGCACACUCAUCAUAACUUUGAAAUUACAGUGGUUAUCGGCCUUAGCACUGGUCAUGCUGGUUAAUGUAUAUAAAUAAAUUCACUUAUUAAUAUAUCACAAAUUUGUUUCUUUAAUAUUUGAU
This is a long non-coding RNA of Camelus dromedarius (Arabian camel), 4741 nucleotides long. RefSeq lists it as uncharacterized. The transcript has 3 exons. The record is from RefSeq and is a predicted model, not a curated record. Lineage: Eukaryota; Metazoa; Chordata; Mammalia; Artiodactyla; Camelidae.